GAUGAACGCUGGCGGCGUGCCUAAUACAUGCAAGUCGAGCGAACGGACGAGAAGCUUGCUUCUCUGAUGUUAGCGGCGGACGGGUGAGUAACACGUGGAUAACCUACCUAUAAGACUGGGAUAACUUCGGGAAACCGUAGCUAAUACCGGAUAAUAUUUUGAACCGCAUGGUUCAAAAGUGAAAGACGGUCUUGCUGUCACUUAUAGAUGGAUCCGCGCUGCAUUAGCCAGUUGGUAAGGUAACGGCUUACCAAGGCAACGAUGCAUAGCCGACCUGAGAGGGUGAUCGGCCACACUGGAACUGAGACACGGUCCAGACUCCUACGGGAGGCAGCAGUAGGGAAUCUUCCGCAAUGGGCGAAAGCCUGACGGAGCAACGCCGCGUGAGUGAUGAAGGUCUUCGGAUCGUAAAACUCUGUUAUUAGGGAAGAACAUAUGUGUAAGUAACUGUGCACAUCUUGACGGUACCUAAUCAGAAAGCCACGGCUAACUACGUGCCAGCAGCCGCGGUAAUACGUAAGUGGCAAGCGUUAUCCGGAAUUAUUGGGCGUAAAGCGCGCGUAGCGGUUUUUUAGUCUGAUGUGAAAGCCCACGGCUCAACCGUGGAGGGUCAUUGGAAACUGGAAAACUUGAGUGCAGAAGAGGAAAGUGGAAUUCCAUGUGUAGCGGUGAAAUGCGCAGAGAUAUGGAGGAACACCAGUGGCGAAGGCGACUUUCUGGUCUGUAACUGACGCUGAUGUGCGAAAGCGUGGGGAUCAAACAGGAUUAGAUACCCUGGUAGUCCACGCCGUAAACGAUGAGUGCUAAGUGUUAGGGGGUUUCCGCCCCUUAGUGCUGCAGCUAACGCAUUAAGCACUCCGCCUGGGGAGUACGACCGCAAGGUUGAAACUCAAAGGAAUUGACGGGGACCCGCACAAGCGGUGGAGCAUGUGGUUUAAUUCGAAGCAACGCGAAGAACCUUACCAAAUCUUGACAUCCUUUGACAACUCUAGAGAUAGAGCCUUCCCCUUCGGGGGACAAAGUGACAGGUGGUGCAUGGUUGUCGUCAGCUCGUGUCGUGAGAUGUUGGGUUAAGUCCCGCAACGAGCGCAACCCUUAAGCUUAGUUGCCAUCAUUAAGUUGGGCACUCUAAGUUGACUGCCGGUGACAAACCGGAGGAAGGUGGGGAUGACGUCAAAUCAUCAUGCCCCUUAUGAUUUGGGCUACACACGUGCUACAAUGGACAAUACAAAGGGCAGCGAAACCGCGAGGUCAAGCAAAUCCCAUAAAGUUGUUCUCAGUUCGGAUUGUAGUCUGCAACUCGACUACAUGAAGCUGGAAUCGCUAGUAAUCGUAGAUCAGCAUGCUACGGUGAAUACGUUCCCGGGUCU
RNAcentral lists this ribosomal RNA (1370 nucleotides) under uncultured bacterium. Its description in RNAcentral is "bacterial SSU rRNA". It matches the Rfam family "Bacterial small subunit ribosomal RNA", at positions 28 to 1381 of the family's 1533-position model. The record is from RNAcentral.